RNAcentral lists this ribosomal RNA (253 nucleotides) under uncultured bacterium. RNAcentral describes it as "partial 16S ribosomal RNA". It matches the Rfam family "Bacterial small subunit ribosomal RNA", at positions 524 to 776 of the family's 1533-position model. The record is from RNAcentral.
UACGAAGGGGGCUAGCGUUGUUCGGAUUUACUGGGCGUAAAGCGCACGUAGGCGGAUUCUUAAGUCAGGGGUGAAAUCCCGAGGCUCAACCUCGGAACUGCCUUUGAUACUGGGGAUCUCGAGUUCGGGAGAGGUGAGUGGAAUUGCGAGCGUAGAGGUGAAAUUCGUAGAUAUUCGCAAGAACACCAGUGGCGAAGGCGGCUCACUGGCCCGAUACUGACGCUGAGGUGCGAAAGCGUGGGGAGCAAACAGG